GACGAACGCUGGCGGCGUGCUUAACACAUGCAAGUCGAACGGAAAGGCCCUGCUUUUGUGGGGUGCUCGAGUGGCGAACGGGUGAGUAACACGUGAGUAACCUGCCCUUGACUUUGGGAUAACUUCAGGAAACUGGGGCUAAUACCGGAUAGGAGCUCCUGCUGCAUGGUGGGGGUUGGAAAGUUUCGGCGGUUGGGGAUGGACUCGCGGCUUAUCAGCUUGUUGGUGGGGUAGUGGCUUACCAAGGCUUUGACGGGUAGCCGGCCUGAGAGGGUGACCGGCCACAUUGGGACUGAGAUACGGCCCAGACCCCUACGGGGGGCAGGAGGGGGGAAUAUUGCAAAAGGGGCGGAAGCCUGAUGCAGCAACGCCGGGUGCGGGAUGACGGCCUUCGGGUUGGAAACCGCUUUCGCCUGUGACGAAGGGUGAGGGACGGUAAUGGGUAAAAAAGCACCGGCUAACUACGU
This 467-nucleotide ribosomal RNA is filed under the name uncultured bacterium. RNAcentral's name for it is "partial 16S ribosomal RNA". It matches the Rfam family "Bacterial small subunit ribosomal RNA", at positions 28 to 506 of the family's 1533-position model. The record is from RNAcentral.